GAUGAACGCUAGCGGCAGGCUUAACACAUGCAAGUCGAGGGGUAUGCUGAUUUAUCGGCAGAGACCGGCGCACGGGUGCGUAACGCGUAUGCAAUCUACCUUUCACAGAGGGAUAGCCCAGAGAAAUUUGGAUUAAUACCUCAUAGUAUAGCAGUUUCGCAUGAAACCACUAUUAAAGUUCCAACGGUGAAAGAUGAGCAUGCGUCCCAUUAGCUAGAUGGUAAGGUAACGGCUUACCAUGGCUACGAUGGGUAGGGGUCCGUGAGAGGGAGAUCCCCACACUGGUACUGAGA
This 293-nucleotide ribosomal RNA is filed under the name uncultured bacterium. RNAcentral describes it as "partial 16S ribosomal RNA". It matches the Rfam family "Bacterial small subunit ribosomal RNA", at positions 28 to 324 of the family's 1533-position model. The record is from RNAcentral.